CGUCAUGGUGGCUGCGUACGGGUGGCCUUCGGGUCAGCCGGGCUUACUCUAGUUGCCCCGGUCUUGCAGGCCCGUACGUAGCCGCCACCCUU
Molecule: non-coding RNA, 92 nt
Filed under: Pseudomonas soli
Lineage: Bacteria; Pseudomonadati; Pseudomonadota; Gammaproteobacteria; Pseudomonadales; Pseudomonadaceae
Source: RNAcentral